AGCGAACGCUGGCGGCAGGCCUAACACAUGCAAGUCGAACGAACCUUUCGGGGUUAGUGGCGGACGGGUGAGUAACACGUGGGAACGUGCCUUUAGGUUCGGAAUAACUCAGGGAAACUUGUGCUAAUACCGAAUGUGCCCUUCGGGGGAAAGAUUUAUCGCCUUUAGAGCGGCCCGCGUCUGAUUAGCUAGUUGGUUGAGGUAAUGGCUCACCAAGGCGACGAUCAGUAGCUGGUCUGUGAGGAUGAUCAGCCACAUUGGGACUGAGACACGGCCCAAACUCCUACGGGAGGCAGCAGUGGGGAAUCUUGCGCAAUGGGCGAAAGCCUGACGCAGCCAUGCCGCGUGAAUGAUGAAGGUCUUAGGAUUGUAAAAUUCUUUCACCGGGGACGAUAAUGACGGUACCCGGAGAAGAAGCCCCGGCUAACUUCGUG
Molecule: ribosomal RNA, 434 nt
Filed under: uncultured bacterium
Lineage: Bacteria
Description: partial 16S ribosomal RNA
Rfam family: Bacterial small subunit ribosomal RNA
Source: RNAcentral